UCGUCUGUAUACAUAUAGUCUUCCCUAUGCAUUAUGUUUUUUGCGUAAUGCAUUAACAGUUGACAGCCUAUCUUAUGAUGUGUACUCUGUUUACAUUACAGUUGUUUAUUAGUUUACUCGUUUGUUUUGCGACUGAUGAAAUGCCGGCAUAUAUAUAUUUUCAACAUUUGACAUAACCCUGUAUGUUUUGCAGGGACAACCCAGGACGUGCAUUUCUCAGCACCCAGUCAACUGCCAAAAGUGACUCAAACACAGGCCACCAGUGGAACUCGGCUGUACCACUGCAGUGCUGCGGAAAUUGCCUUCACCAGCGGCUUUGCAACAGCUGUUUCGCAGCAUGUCGGAGACAAUGCCUACGAAAUUAUUGGCCCUGAUUAUGAGAGCCCUCAAGGGGCAAACAACAUCUCUGUUGCAGAAGUGAGCCCGGUACCACUUGGAAGUUACCAUGACAGAUGACACGGCAGCAAUAGAUACAGAGACUGCCACGUCUACUGCAGCUGCAACAGUGUACGAGGCAAGCAGCAGCGCGUCAGCAGCAGUGUCAGAAGGAACCACACCAGGCCUGGUAGAGCAACAUGUGUGCUAUCACUGACUUUUUUUGUAGUGGAUACAACUCAUUUGCUCAACAUACAAAAGCUUUUCACCACGACUGUGAGCCAGUGUUAUU
RNAcentral lists this long non-coding RNA (667 nucleotides) under Dermacentor andersoni. RNAcentral's name for it is "uncharacterized LOC126524391". Lineage: Eukaryota; Metazoa; Arthropoda; Arachnida; Ixodida; Ixodidae. The record is from RNAcentral.